GGGCAGCUGCAUGCUGCAGUCGACGAUUAGAGUUUGAUCCUGGCUCAGGAUGAACGCUGACAGAAUGCUUAACACAUGCAAGUCGACUGGAAUUUAUCUUCGGAUAAUAGUACGGUGGCGGACGGGUGAGUAACGCGUAAAGAAUUUGCCCUCUAGACUGGGACAACUAACUGAAAAGUUAGCUAAUACCAGAUAUUAUGAGACCUUGGCAUCAAGGACUCAUGAAAGCUAUAUGCGCUGGAGGAGAACUUUGCGUCCCAUUAGUUAGUUGGUAGGGUAAUGGCCUACCAAGGCGACGAUGGGUAGCCGGCCUGAGAGGGUGAACGGCCACAAGGGGACUGAGACACGGCCCUUACUCCUACGGGAGGCAGCAGUGGGGAAUAUUGGACAAUGGACCAAAAGUCUGAUCCAGCAAUUCUGUGUGCACGAUGAAGGUCUUCGGAUUGUAAAGUGCUUUCAGGUGGGAAGAAGAAAGUGACGGUACCACCAGAAGAAGCGACGGCUAAAUACGUGCCAGCAGCCGCGGUAAUACGUAUGUCGCAAGCGUUAUCCGGAAUUAUUGGGCGUAAAGCGAGUCUAGGCGGCUUGUUAAGUCAGAUGUGAAAAUGCGGGGCUCAACUCCGUAUUGCGUUUGAAACUGGCAUGCUAGAGUACUGGAGAGGUGGGCGGAACUACAAGUGUAGAGGUGAAAUUCGUAGAUAUUUGUAGGAAUGCCGAUAGUGAAGACAGCUCACUGGACAGAUACUGACGCUAAAGCUCGAAAGCGUGGGGAGCGAACAGGAUUAGAUACCCUGGUAGUCCACGCCGUAAACGAUGUUCACUGGGUGUAGGGGGUCGAACCUCUGUGCCGAAGCUAACGCGAUAAGUGAACCGCCUGGGGAGUACGCACGCAAGUGUGAAACUCAAAGGAAUUGACGGGGACCCGCACAAGCGGUGGAGCAUGUGGUUUAAUUCGACGCAACGCGAGGAACCUUACCAGCACUUGACAUACAACGAACUAAUUAGAGAUGAUAAGGUGCCACUUCGGUGGAACGUUGAUACAGGUGGUGCAUGGCUGUCGUCAGCUCGUGCCGUGAGGUGUCGGGUUAAGUCCCAUAACGAGCGCAACCCACGUUGUUAGUUACCAGCACGUCAAGGUGGGGACUCUAACAAGACUGCCGGUGUAAACCGCGAGGAAGGUGUGGAUGACGUCAAAUCAGCACGGCCCUUACGUCCAGGGCUACACACGUGUUACAAUGGUCGGUACAGAGGGUCGCUACUAUGUGAAUAGAUGCUAAUCUCGAAAGCCGAUCUCAGUUCGGAUCGAAGUCUGCAACCCGACUUCGUGAAGCUGGAUUCGCUAGUAAUCGCGCAUCAGCCAUGGCGCGGUGAAUACGUUCCCGGGCCUUGUACACACCGCCCGUCAAACCAUGGAAGCCGGGGGUACCUGAAGUCUGUGACCGUAAGGAGCGGCCUAGGGUAAAUCUGGUAACUAGGGUUAAGUCGUAACAAGGCCGUAAAUCUCUAGAGUCCCGA
This 1515-nucleotide ribosomal RNA is filed under the name uncultured Psychrilyobacter sp. Its description in RNAcentral is "bacterial SSU rRNA". It matches the Rfam family "Bacterial small subunit ribosomal RNA". Lineage: Bacteria; Fusobacteriati; Fusobacteriota; Fusobacteriia; Fusobacteriales; Fusobacteriaceae. The record is from RNAcentral.